This 30-nucleotide non-coding RNA is filed under the name Mus musculus (house mouse). The record is from RNAcentral. Lineage: Eukaryota; Metazoa; Chordata; Mammalia; Rodentia; Muridae.
UCAAAGUAAAGCCCUCAGCUCCGCAACUGU